Molecule: long non-coding RNA, 5252 nt
Filed under: Homo sapiens (human)
Lineage: Eukaryota; Metazoa; Chordata; Mammalia; Primates; Hominidae
Description: HSALNT0201063
Source: RNAcentral
CCUCGGCCUCCCAAAGUGCUGAGAUUACAGGCGUGAGCCACCGCACCUGGCCACUGAUGUGCCUUUUUAACUGUUGCAGACAUUCCAUGAUACAGACAAGUCAUACUUUAUUUAACCUGUCCCUGUUCAUCGACAUUCAUUUCCAGUUUCCAUCCUAUUUAAUUUUCUAGAGUCAGUUUUACCGAGAUAUACUUUUGUGAAAGAAAAUAAGCACCGAGGACUGCACUCACACCUGCUGAAGGUCAAACCACAGAAUGUUCCAAUAGACUUGGAUAAACAACUGCAGUCAGCAUUCGCGGCUGUCAACAACUCUCAGCUGGGAAUAGCCUAGUUAACUAACCAAUCGGAACAGGUUUGCCAUUUAGGAUUUCUGCCCAGCCCAAUGAAAUGCCUCUGAAAACAGCGUUUUGUGGAAACUCCCUAUAAAAAUCCUCUACUGAGCUUGCCUUACAGUCUACUAUUCAGGACUGCCUUGCUUCAGUGUACACAAAUUGCAAAUCUUUAUUUCCCAAAUAAAAGCUAUUUCCCUCAACCUCUUUUUUUUUUGAGAUGGAGUCUCUGUCACCCAGGCUGGAGUGCAGUGGCACCAUCUUGGCUCAAUGCAGUCUCUGCCUCCCAUGUUCAAGUGAUUCUCCUGCCUCAACCUCCCAAGUAGCCGGGAUUACAUGUGCGUGUCACCACACCUGGCUAAUUUUUGUAUUUUUAGUAGAGACAGGGUUUUGCCAUGUCGGCCAGGCUGGUCUCGAACUCCUGACCUCUGGUGAUCCUCCUGACUCGGCCUCCCAAAGUGCUGGGAUUAUAGGCCUGAGCCACCGUACCCAGACACUCUUUUAGUUAACACUUUUAUGCAGUAAAACUCACAAUGUGCAAGUUUUAACACACGCAGUGUCAUGUAGCUGCCACCACUAUCAGGAUUUCCAUUACCUGUGAAGUUCCCUUGUCUUUCUUUGUAGUCAACCUCAGGCAAAUACUGUCCUGUGUUUUUAUCCCUCUGGUUUUGCCUUUUCCAGAAUGCCACAUACACGGAAGCAUACAGUACAUACCACUAAGAGUCUGGUUUCUUUAAACCAUUCCAUUGUAUGACUAUACCACAGUUUGCUUUCUCUAGUUACAAGUUGGUGGACAUUUGGAUGGUUUUCUGUUUUUGGUGAUUAGAAUUAAAGCUGCUAUAAGCCAGGAGCAGUGGCUCACGCCUGUAAUCCCAGCACUUUGGGAGGCCGAGGCAGGUGGAUCACGAGGUCAGGAGUUCAAGACCAGCCUGGCCAACUUGAUGAAACCCCCAUCUCUACUAAAAAUACAAAAAAAUGGCCAGGCGCAGUGGCUCACACCCGUAAUCCCAGCACUUUGGGAGGCCAAAGUGGGCGGAUCACCUGAGGUUGGGAGCUUGACACCAGCCUAACACGGAGAAACCCUGUCUCUACUAAAAGUACAAAACUAGCCAGGCGUGGUGGCGCAUGCCUGUAAUCCCGGCUACUCAGGAGGCUGAGGCAGGAGAAUUGCUUGAGCCCGGGAGACAGAGGUUGUGUUGAGCCAAGAUCGCACCAUUGCACUCCAGCUUGGGCAACAAGAGCGAAACUCCGUCUCAGAAAAACAAAACAAAACAUUAGCCAGGUGUGGCGGUGGGCACCUGUAAUCCCAGCUACUCGGGAGGCUGAGGCAGAGAAUUGCUUGAACCUGGGAGGCAGAGGCUGCCGUGAGCUGAGAUUGCGCCACUGCACUCCAGCCCGAGUGGCAGAGUGAGACUCCGUCUCAAAAAAAAAAAAAAAAAAAAAAAAAAAAUUAGCUGGUUGUGGUGGCGCAUGUCUGUAAUCCCAACUACUCUGGGGGCAAAUCUGGAGAAUCACUCGAACCCGGGAGGUGGAGGUUGCAGUAAGCUGAGAUUGUGCCACUGCACUCCAGCCUGGGUGACAAGAGCGAAACUCCGUAUCAAAAAUAAAUAAAUAAAUAAAUAAAUAAAUAAAUAAAACUGCUAUAAAUCCUUCUAUACAGGCUUUUGUGUGUGCAUAUAUGUCUUCAUUUCUCCUGGGUAAGCUUCUAGGAAUGGGAUUGCUGGGUUGCGUAUGGUAGUGUGUUUAACUUUACAAUAAACUGCCAAACUGUUUUCCAAAGAACCGGUAUCCUUUGGCAUUCCAUGAACCAUGUGUGCGUUCUGGUUGCUCUGCAUGCUCGGUAGCACUUGACACUGUCAGGUUUCUAAAGUUUUAGCUAUUCUGGCCGGGGGCAGUGGCUCACGCCUAUAAUCCCAGCACUUUGGGAAGCUGAGGUGGGCGGAUCACCCGAGGCCAGGAGUUCGAGACCAGCCUGGCCAAGAUGGAAAAAAAACCCAUCUCAACUAAAAAUACAAAAGUCAGCUGGGUGUGGUGAAGAACGCCUGUGAUCCCAGCUACUUGGGAGGCUGGGGCAGGAGAAUCGCUUGAACUGGGGAGGCAGAGGUUGCAGUGAGCCGAGAUUGUGCCACUGCACUCCAGCCUGGGUGACAGAGAUAUACUCCGUCUCAAAAACAAAACAAAACACCCCCUUUCCCCACCAAAAAAAAAAAAAAAAAAAGUUUUAGCUAUUCUGAUAGGUAUGCAGCAUUCUUUUGUAAUUUGCAUUUCUCUAAUGACCAAUUAUGCUGAGCAGCUUUUCAUGUGCUUGUUCAUCUAUACCUUCUUGAUGAAAUGUAUGUUCUCACAUUUAUUAAUUUUUUUUCUUUUUUCUACCUCGCCUGGAUAUUGCCUGUUUUAAAACUGAAUUGUUUUAUUAUUUUAUUAAAGUUUUAAGAGACCUUUAUAUAGUCUGGAUACAAUCCUUUAUAUGCGUUUCACAAAUAUAUUCUCCUUUAUAUGAAGUUUCCCUUUUAGCAUCACUGGUGAGAGAACAUUAUUUCUGAAGUGCUAAUUGGCAGUUUCAUGCCAGUUGUGUCUCUUGGAGGUCAACAUCUGACAAAUGUCUGAACAUAUGGCUGAGCGAGUGCUCACAAAUGUCUCAGCUGUGUCUUUGGGAUAGGGGUGGAGGUAAUUGGUAGUCCAGAGGGGAAUCUGGGGGAGUAGGCAGGCUUGAAGGCACUUGGAUAAGAGUUCAUUUGGUAGCCUGCUACCAUUCAAUCAUUUGUGCCUUUUCAAAAGUCCAUCUUUUCUAUGUCCACUAAGUUAACAAACAUUCCUUAACAAUGUAUGAGGGAAUUUUGAUGUGGUUAGGUUCAUCCAUUUCCCAUUCUGUAUUUGCUGUGUUCUUGAACCCCUAUGUCCACUCCCACAGGGUGUGCACACUAGGCUGUGACACCUCUGGGAGACCAACUACUCCAGAUUUUUCACCUGCAAGUGGUAAGUCAGGCCAACUUCCGUUGGUGACCCGUUAUCUCUGCUUGAAAAAAGAUAAGGAGAUUCUCCACUUUGGCCUCAGCUCUUAGCUAGGUUCUUUAGUCCAGCUAGGAGUUACUGAGCCUCCACCAAGAAGGUGAAUCAUUUGACCUCAUUUAGCUCCUCCUCCUUAUUUAUCUUUAUUAGAGCUUGCAGUGAUGGAGAGUAAGUGAUUGGGACCUCAAACUUCUAACACAUAAUUCUCUCAGGCUGUUUUGGAAUGCUACUCUAAUUAGACUAUAUUAAAGAAAUGUGUUCAGGGAUGAGUCAACAGGAAAAAGCCUGCUGCAAAUAAAGGAGUCAUUGAGUUGUUGGCAUCAGUUUGCACCUGUGUGCAGAGCUGAUGGAGGUUAGCCCCGCCUAACACCUCAUCCAUUCCACUUGGGCCCAGGGUCAGAUUACCUGAUUCCAAGUUGCUCUAUUAGACUGAGAAAAUACUUAACUUGUCAAGUCACAAUCCUUUACAAUCUGCUGUAUCUGCAGGUACACUGAAAGUGUGUGCAGGUUCUCAUUCAAACCACCUGGGGAAGUAAGGCUAUUAGAAUUCUCUUGUAUUUGCUCUUUCUGUAUUUCCUGCUCUUUGACUUUUAUGAACUCCUAGACUUCUUUAAAACACAAUUCAUAUACCAACUCCUAAGAAGCUUUCCUGAUUCUCCAAAAAUUUAACUAGUUGUUUCAUUCUCUGUGCUACCCCAUAUUUUAUAUAAUAGCCAACCCUGAUAAAGUACUUUUUAUGUGCCAUGCAGUGUUCCAUAUAUGAGCAUUAAAUUGACAUUUAAUUUUCAUCACAAUUCUAUGAGAUAGAUACUCUUUAACAUUUCGGUUUCACAGACAAGUAAACAGGCACUGAUGGUAGGCAACUUGUUCAAAGUCCCAAGCUUUGAAUGUAGGUAGCUCUUAAAACAUUCUCCCAUAUAUUUCUACUGCUGCACUUAAGACACUAUGCUGCCAUUUAUUUGCUUCCCAGUCUUCUUCAAUACCACAGCUCCCUAAAUGCAAGGACCUGUCUUAUUUGUUCGUCUCUGUAUCCCCAUUACCUGGGGGUCUCAAGCUGACGGACUUCCUUUGUGCUCACUGGGCCAUGGCAAAGACCCCCAGCUGUGACCACCCAAGCCGGCAAUUUUCUCAUGAGCCUGGCAUUGGAGAGUCAUUGAGUCUUGGAUGGAAAUAAAUCAAAUACACUGGCCAUCUGUGGUCAUUAAUGGGAAGUAUCUCCUCAUCUGAAUCUACAGCAAAGACAGAACAUCAUUCCAUAAUAAGAAACUCUACAAAAGAAAUAAACACUGGAAACCCAAUCUCUACAGGCAAAGCAACUGAGGCAGAAUCCUGAAGCAAUUAUUUUUGGUUCAGGAAAGGUAACUCUUGAGACUUUGCCACCAGCAUUUAGUGAGGAGUCACUGAACCCUAGGGAGGUGAAUGAUAGCUGUGGGCACUGAGCAGUGGAGCACCCAUUAUCUAACACAUGGUGGCCAGGAGCCUAUGUUCCACAGUGCCAUUCUGGGAUUUGAUCUGCCUCCUUUCCUUGGCUAGACCUGGGGCAGGUUCUACUGUAUAUUCUACUGUAUGACCAAGGGCAGGUUCUUUAACCUUUCAGUGCCUCUGGACUCACAUUGAUAGAACACAGAUAAUAAGAGAACACAGAUUACAGGGUGGCUGGGAGGAUUAAAUGAGUUAUAUGAGUUAAAUGUUUAGCAUGGUGCUGGACACACAGUAAGGGUCCAAGAAACAUGAGCUAUUAUUCUUCCUUUUUAUUUAGUAAGACAGGCAGAGAACUGGUAGUACGUAUUAUCACAAAUACGUAUCACCUCUACCCCUGUGCCUGGCACACAGUGGGCAGCAAUGUUUUUUUGAGACGGAGUUUUGUUCUCGUUGCCCAGGCUGGAGUGCAAUGGUGCGAUCUCAGCUCACCAC